Molecule: transfer RNA, 73 nt
Filed under: Candidatus Vogelbacteria bacterium
Lineage: Bacteria; Candidatus Vogeliibacteriota
Description: tRNA-Thr
Rfam family: tRNA
About the family: Transfer RNA (tRNA) molecules are approximately 80 nucleotides in length. Their secondary structure includes four short double-helical elements and three loops (D, anti-codon, and T loops).
Source: RNAcentral
GCCGCUCUAGCUCAAUUGGUAGAGCAACUGUUUUGUAAACAGUAGGUUGUCGGUUCGAGUCCGACGAGCGGCU